Nasonia vitripennis (jewel wasp) is the source of this 1789-nucleotide long non-coding RNA. RefSeq lists it as uncharacterized. The transcript has 4 exons. Lineage: Eukaryota; Metazoa; Arthropoda; Insecta; Hymenoptera; Pteromalidae. The record is from RefSeq and is a predicted model, not a curated record.
UUGCUUGAAAAUAAAUUUUAUAACCUCUUUAUAUUGGUUAGGGAUACCCCGCCGAAAGAGCGCAUAAAAAAGCUCCGUGCUUGCACGUUGACCCCGCUUAAGAAGCAAAAUAAUGGAAAAUUGCUGACAGGCGUGCUUUUGCGUUUUCUCCCCCCGCGCGGUUUCGGGCGUGCGGCAUGUGACGAGCAUUUGACGGCAAUAAGCCGGGGUACAGAGCGGUCACGCGUGCGGCAUGCACGUCAACAUAUUGCCGUCAAUGCGCUGACGUGAUGUUAUCUGCACGGGGUAGCACAGUAUGGCACAGCGCGUGAUUUCGCACAGUUUUGGCAUGCAGUGAAAAAAAAACACAGCCAUUUUAACUGAAAUCGCACCAGUAAUCCGUCAUUGUACGAAGACUCGCCAAAAUUACCGUAGAGUUCAGUAGUUUUAAAGAAUCAGUUCGGUCGUUUUUGCUGGUGUCCCGCGUAAGCGACCAAUUUUACGAGUCGCGACUCGCCAAAACUACACGGAGAAACCUUUUCGUUGAAAAACACGAUGGAACUUGCGAAGUGUUUAUUUCGAUGAACAGUCACCGUAAAACAGUGUACGCGCACGCAAAAAGACGGUGCGAUCACCAAAAUUUACAGUGAUCGCUGCACUGAAAUAACAGGUGUUGAUGCGCGCCAUCUCGCGUGCACUGGAAAAAACGGUGAUCGCACUGUCUUUUAACACACUCGCUAAAACGUUCACUGUUAUUUUCAAUGAUUCGGGCUCUCCGUGUACCAGUGACACACCGUUGUUCUUACUGAACAGUCGUUACGGUGGCAGGGGCCGUAUUCUAUAAGCCAGUUACGAGAGUGAGAGCUGGCGAGAGCGAGAUAGGGUGUCACUCUCACCAGUCACCGCUAGAUGGUGACUGUGCCUUGAUUGGAGCGAAUGACGAGAGAGUCAAUGUUUUUGACAUGGAAUGGUUUUUAAAAACCGUAUGAAGAUGCAUUUAAAAAUACACAUUUUUUUUUUAAAGGGUAAAUAACCACAAUAAAAUGUAAUAAGUUUCUGUCAGGAUUUUAUACACACAAUUAGUCAACCUUCUGCUAGUCGAUUUAUACCAAAGGUAAUAAAUGCAAUUAAUAAUUUAUUAGCAGAACAGUAUCUACGUUUUCCAACCACGGAACAAGAAAGACAAAAUAUUCAACAAAGUUUUAGAAGAACUAUACGGGUACCAGGCAUAAUUGGUCUCAUUGACUGCCUUGUGAUAUGCAUAACACGUCCAUCACAGAAUGAAGAAGCAUUUUAUCAUUACUGACAUGGUCAUGGAAAAUUGUACAAAUUCUUGUAGAUUCCAAUUACAAUAUUUUAAAUAUUCGAAUCUGCCCUGGCAAUAAUAACGACAGGUAUGUCUGGCAGUUCUCAAAUGCAAGAGAAUACGUAGAGUCUCUAAGAAAUGAUCAACCUCAGAACAAUUACUAUAUAUUAGGUGAUAGUGGGCACACUCCUUCUCCUGUAUUAUUAACUCCAAUAUUGGAUGCUGCAGAAGGGACACCUGAAGCUGCUUACACCUAUGAUCAUGUAAGAACACGUUGUCGUGUAGAGCAAACAAUUGGAAUGUUUACCAAUAUAUGGAGAGUCAUUAAAAGAGCUUGAAAACUUAUGUAUGAACCACAGGAAUCGAAUAAUUCAAGAAUAUUAUAGGUAUCAUUUAGCUUUUUCUAAAUUGUAAUGUACAAUUCGUGGUACAGAAUAAGUUAUAAAAGUGUAUGAUUGUAUAAUAAUUAAAAAAAAAAUAAAUCAACAUAAAUAUUAAAAAGAU